Molecule: ribosomal RNA, 526 nt
Filed under: uncultured Glomeraceae
Lineage: Eukaryota; Fungi; Glomeromycota; Glomeromycetes; Glomerales; Glomeraceae
Description: SSU rRNA
Rfam family: Eukaryotic small subunit ribosomal RNA
Source: RNAcentral
AGCAGCCGCGGUAAUUCCAGCUCCAAUAGCGUAUAUUAAAGUUGUUGCAGUUAAAAAGCUCGUAGUUGAAUUUCGGGAUUGACGUGACGGUCAUGCCUUAAGGGGUAUGAACUGUUACAGUUGAUUUCUCACCUUCUGGAGAAACUUGAUGUCAUUUAUUUGGUGUCGUGGGGAAUCAGGACUGUUACUUUGAAAAAAUUAGAGUGUUUAAAGCAGGCUCACGCUUGAAUACAUUAGCAUGGAAUAAUGAAAUAGGACGUUUGAUUCUAUUUUGUUGGUUUCUAGGAUCGACGUAAUGAUUAAUAGGGAUAGUUGGGGGCAUUAGUAUUCAAUUGUCAGAGGUGAAAUUCUUGGAUUUAUUGAAGACUAACUACUGCGAAAGCAUUUGCCAAGGAUGUUUUCAUUAAUCAAGAACGAAAGUUAGGGGAUCGAAGACGAUCAGAUACCGUCGUAGUCUUAACCAUAAACUAUGCCGACUAGGGAUCGGAUGAUGUUAAUUUUUUAAUGACUCAUUCGGCGCCUUACG